Caenorhabditis elegans is the source of this 221-nucleotide non-coding RNA. The record is from Ensembl. NCBI's taxonomy places the organism in Eukaryota, Metazoa, Nematoda, Chromadorea, Rhabditida, Rhabditidae.
UGUCUCUACCUUAUCCUGCACUAUAUCCAUCAACUUUGACCCUCACCGAGUGUCUCGCGGCUGUUCAAGGCGCCCGGCGGCUGGCCGCACGAGUCGAAACCAGCUGAUCGGACGGAGGGAGGGAUGAAAAAAGAGAAGGACUUUCGUCUAGCUCACUUGUGCUCUCUAACCGUUCGCCCGUUUCCUUUCAUUCAGAAUCUAAAUCUCUUCAAGACGAGACA